UACGAAGGGGGCUAGCGUUGCUCGGAAUCACUGGGCGUAAAGCGCACGUAGGCGGAUCUUUAAGUCGGGGGUGAAAUCCUGGAGCUCAACUCCAGAACUGCCUUCGAUACUGGGGAUCUCGAGUCCGGGAGAGGUGAGUGGAACUCCGAGUGUAGAGGUGAAAUUCGUAGAUAUUCGGAAGAACACCAGUGGCGAAGGCGGCUCACUGGCCCGGUACUGACGCUGAGGUGCGAAAGCGUGGGGAGCAAACAGG
This 253-nucleotide ribosomal RNA is filed under the name uncultured bacterium. Its description in RNAcentral is "partial 16S ribosomal RNA". It matches the Rfam family "Bacterial small subunit ribosomal RNA", at positions 524 to 776 of the family's 1533-position model. The record is from RNAcentral.